Molecule: ribosomal RNA, 439 nt
Filed under: Fusarium culmorum
Lineage: Eukaryota; Fungi; Ascomycota; Sordariomycetes; Hypocreales; Nectriaceae
Description: eukaryotic LSU rRNA
Rfam family: 5.8S ribosomal RNA (bases 114-267)
Source: RNAcentral
CAUACCUCUAUGUUGCCUCGGCGGAUCAGCCCGUUCCUCACGGAACGGCCCGCCGCAGGACCCCUAAACUCUGUUUUUAGUGGAACUUCUGAGUAAAAAAACAAAUAAAUCAAAACUUUCAACAACGGAUCUCUUGGUUCUGGCAUCGAUGAAGAACGCAGCAAAAUGCGAUAAGUAAUGUGAAUUGCAGAAUUCAGUGAAUCAUCGAAUCUUUGAACGCACAUUGCGCCCGCCAGUAUUCUGGCGGGCAUGCCUGUUCGAGCGUCAUUUCAACCCUCAAGCCCAGCUUGGUGUUGGGAGCUGUUUUAGUUAACACUCCCCAAAUUGAUUGGCGGUCACGUCGAGCUUCCAUAGCGUAGUAAUUUACACAUCGUUACUGGUAAUCGACGCGGCCACGCCGUUAAACCCCAACUUCUGAAUGUUGACCUCGGAUCAGGUA